This 1372-nucleotide ribosomal RNA is filed under the name uncultured bacterium. Its description in RNAcentral is "bacterial SSU rRNA". It matches the Rfam family "Bacterial small subunit ribosomal RNA", at positions 28 to 1381 of the family's 1533-position model. The record is from RNAcentral.
GAUGAACGCUGGCGGCGCGCCUAAUACAUGCAAGUCGAGCGAACGGACGAGAAGCUUGCUUUUCUGAUGUUAGCGGCGGACGGGUGAGUAACACGUGGAUAACCUACCUAUAAGACUGGGAUAACUUCGGGAAACCGGAGCUAAUACCGGAUAAUAUUUUGAACCGCAUGGUUCAAAAGUGAAGGACGGUCUUGCUGUCACUUAUAGAUGGAUCCGCGCUGCAUUAGCUAGUUGGUAAGGUAACGGCUUACCAAGGCAACGAUGCAUAGCCGACCUGAGAGGGUGAUCGGCCACACUGGAACUGAGACACGGUCCAGACUCCUACGGGAGGCAGCAGUAGGGAAUCUUCCGCAAUGGGCGAAAGCCUGACGGAGCAACGCCGCGUGAGUGAUGAAGGUCUUCGGAUCGUAAAACUCUGUUAUUAGGGAAGAACAUAUGUGUAAGUAACUGUGCACAUCUUGACGGUACCUAAUCAGAAAGCCACGGCUAACUACGUGCCAGCAGCCGCGGUAAUACGUAGGUGGCAAGCGUUAUCCGGAAUUAUUGGGCGUAAAGCGCGCGUAGGCGGUUUUUUAAGUCUGAUGUGAAAGCCCACGGCUCAACCGUGGAGGGUCAUUGGAAACUGGAAAACUUGAGUGCAGAAGAGGAAAGUGGAAUUCCAUGUGUAGCGGUGAAAUGCGCAGAGAUAUGGAGGAACACCAGUGGCGAAGGCGACUUUCUGGUCUGUAACUGACGCUGAUGUGCGAAAGCGUGGGGAUCAAACAGGAUUAGAUACCCUGGUAGUCCACGCCGUAAACGAUGAGUGCUAAGUGUUAGGGGGUUUCCGCCCCUUAGUGCUGCAGCUAACGCAUUAAGCACUCCGCCUGGGGAGUACGACCGCAAGGUUGAAACUCAAAGGAAUUGACGGGGACCCGCACAAGCGGUGGAGCAUGUGGUUUAAUUCGAAGCAACGCGAAGAACCUUACCAAAUCUUGACAUCCUUUGACAACUCUAGAGAUAGAGCCUUCCCCUUCGGGGGACAAAGUGACAGGUGGUGCAUGGUUGUCGUCAGCUCGUGUCGUGAGAUGUUGGGUUAAGUCCCGCAACGAGCGCAACCCUUAAGCUUAGUUGCCAUCAUUAAGUUGGGCACUCUAAGUUGACUGCCGGUGACAAACCGGAGGAAGGUGGGGAUGACGUCAAAUCAUCAUGCCCCUUAUGAUUUGGGCUACACACGUGCUACAAUGGACAAUACAAAGGGCAGCGAAACCGCGAGGUCAAGCAAAUCCCAUAAAGUUGUUCUCAGUUCGGAUUGUAGUCUGCAACUCGACUACAUGAAGCUGGAAUCGCUAGUAAUCGUAGAUCAGCAUGCUACGGUGAAUACGUUCCCGGGUCU